AUUGAACGCUGGCGGCAUGCCUAACACAUGCAAGUCGAACGGUAACAGGCCUUCGGGCGCUGACGAGUGGCGGACGGGUGAGUAACGCGUGGGAAUCUGCCUAGUAGUGGGGGACAACCUGGGGAAACUCAGGCUAAUACCGCAUACGCCCUACGGGGGAAAGCGGGGGAUCUUCGGACCUCGUGCUAUUAGAUGAGUCUGCGUCGGAUUAGCUUGUUGGUGGGGUGAUGGCCUACCAAGGCUACGAUCCGUAGCUGGUCUGAGAGGAUGAUCAGCCACACUGGGACUGAGACACGGCCCAGACUCCUACGGGAGGCAGCAGUGGGGAAUAUUGCACAAUGGGCGCAAGCCUGAUGCAGCCAUGCCGCGUGUGUGAAGAAGGCCUUAGGGUUGUAAAGCACUUUCAGCAGUGAGGAAAGGGGUGUCGUUAAUAGCGCCAUCCUGUGACGUUAACUGCAGAAGAAGGACCGGCUAACUCCGUG
RNAcentral lists this ribosomal RNA (482 nucleotides) under uncultured bacterium. Its description in RNAcentral is "bacterial SSU rRNA". It matches the Rfam family "Bacterial small subunit ribosomal RNA", at positions 30 to 507 of the family's 1533-position model. The record is from RNAcentral.